Molecule: ribosomal RNA, 632 nt
Filed under: uncultured bacterium
Lineage: Bacteria
Description: bacterial SSU rRNA
Rfam family: Bacterial small subunit ribosomal RNA
Source: RNAcentral
GACAAACGCUGGCGGAAUGUAUUAGGCAUGCAAGUCGCACGAGCCUUCGGGCUAGUGGCGGACGGGUGAGUAACACGUGGGUAACCUGCCUCGUAGUGGGGAAUAACUCGCCGAAAGGCGAGCUAAUACCGCAUAACACCCCCGGUGAGAUUCCGGGCGGUAAAAGCUCCGGCGCUACGAGAGGGGCCCGCGGCCGAUUAGCUAGUGGGUAGGGUAACGGCCUACCAAGGCGACGAUCGGUAGCUGGUCUGAGAGGAUGGUCAGCCACACGGGGACUGAGAUACGGCCCCGACUCCUACGGGAGGCAGCAGCUAAGAAUCUUGCUCAAUGGGCGAAAGCCUGAAGCAGCAAUUCCGCGUGGGGGACGAAGGCCCUCGGGUCGUAAACCCCUUUUGCGAGGGAAGAAGUUCUGACGGUACCUCGCGAAUAAGACACGGCUAACUACGUGCCAGCAGCCGCGGUAAUACGUAGGUGUCAAGCGUUGUCCGGAUUUAUUGGGCGUAAGCGCCGCAGGCGGCUCGAUAGUUCAGGUGAAACUCCCGCUCACUGGAGGGUCUGAAACAUCGGCUGGUAUGAAGGAUUGAAUCAGUUAUGUAAGGUGAUUCGAGACCAUGCAGCGAUCUGCAGUCGAG